RNAcentral lists this long non-coding RNA (399 nucleotides) under Sorghum bicolor (sorghum). RNAcentral describes it as "long non-coding RNA (SBIC_LNC005215)". The record is from RNAcentral. Lineage: Eukaryota; Viridiplantae; Streptophyta; Magnoliopsida; Poales; Poaceae.
CUUGAGCUUUGUGUUGACCAAAUUAGAGCUUAUCUAUGAUGCUAUUAGUAUAGAAUAGGUAGAGACACCACCUUGCACCAUCAAUUAGGUGAUAUAGCUUGAUUUUAUUGAAGAUUAAUUGUAGUUUCAUGAAUGGAGAGAAAAGGCAUUCUAGAUCUAGGGUUUCCUUUUUUUGUUUUUGUUUCAUGAAUUUGUAAUGUGGUUGGCAUGAAUAGUUAUUGGUAAACUAAUAGUUGUUGUUAAUAUUAAUUGUUUCUAAUAAUGGUAGAUCAUAAUUGGUAAAAUUAAUUAUGUCUAAUAAUCGUUUCUAACACAAUUAUUACUAAUAAUGAUAGAUAAUAAUUGUUGCUAAUAAUGGUAGAUAAUAAUUGUUACUUAUUAAUUGUUGCUAAUAAUGGU